RNAcentral lists this unclassified non-coding RNA (553 nucleotides) under Hevea brasiliensis (rubber tree). The record is from RNAcentral. Lineage: Eukaryota; Viridiplantae; Streptophyta; Magnoliopsida; Malpighiales; Euphorbiaceae.
UAGUGGCCUCGAUGAGAGUGAUGACUGAUUGAAAUGAUUUUUGAGAAAUUAUAUGUUGUUAUAAUCAUGUGAAAAUCUCUAUUAAAUGUUAAACCCAAAGGUUUGAUGGUUCCGUUAGAUCAAUUCAUUUUUGCGGAUUCCUGGUUUUGGUCUUCUGCCCGAGUUCGGUACGUGCCUAUGGACAUAUCUAUGGAGGAAUGGAAGAAAUAUAAACAACACCUUCUUUCAUUGGCUGAGCAUUGGAUGUUGAGGUAUUGGUGUUCUUCAUGGCCAAGUAAGGACAUGAUUUUAACUUUUAGGCUGUCUUUCUAGAAAAGUAUGGUGAGCUUCCUUGCGUUAUUCGUAAAUAGGGCUUCUUAUAAACUAGUGAUCGUACAUUAGUGCAAGUUCUCAAUACACACAACAGAUAGUUGACAGCACAUUGAAACUGCUAUUCCUGUUGAUAAUGUACUACAGAGCUGCCAAUCCCUUUGAUAUUGACACUCUUUGAAAUUGUAAAUCAGUAUCAUAUAUUGCAAAUUCUGAUUUAUCUUAUGCCUAUAUUUCCUUUUAA